CCGAGUUUACAACUCCCAAACCCCUGUGAACAUACCCUUUAUGUUGCCUCGGCGGAUCAGCCCGCGCCCGUAAAACGGGACGGCCCGCCAGAGGAACCCUAAACUCUGUUUCUAUAUGUGAACUUCUGAGUAUAAAACCAUAAUAAAUCA
This 150-nucleotide unclassified non-coding RNA is filed under the name soil metagenome. RNAcentral's name for it is "partial internal transcribed spacer 1". The record is from RNAcentral.